Non-coding RNA from Schistosoma margrebowiei, 46 nucleotides. The record is from Rfam. Lineage: Eukaryota; Metazoa; Platyhelminthes; Trematoda; Strigeidida; Schistosomatidae.
GCACUACUGAAGAGUCCCAUACUAGGACGAAACGGCCGUCCAGUGC